UAAGGUCACGGCGAGACGAGCCGUUUAUCAUUACGAUAGGUGUCAAGUGGAAGUGCAGUGAUGCAUGCAGCUGAGGCAUCCUAACAGACCGAGAGAUUUGAAC
RNAcentral lists this ribosomal RNA (103 nucleotides) under Lomandra longifolia. RNAcentral's name for it is "partial 4.5S ribosomal RNA". Lineage: Eukaryota; Viridiplantae; Streptophyta; Magnoliopsida; Asparagales; Asparagaceae. RNAcentral also lists the same sequence under 4 other names. The record is from RNAcentral.